RNAcentral lists this ribosomal RNA (465 nucleotides) under Vreelandella stevensii. RNAcentral describes it as "partial 16S ribosomal RNA". It matches the Rfam family "Bacterial small subunit ribosomal RNA", at positions 338 to 795 of the family's 1533-position model. Lineage: Bacteria; Pseudomonadati; Pseudomonadota; Gammaproteobacteria; Oceanospirillales; Halomonadaceae. The record is from RNAcentral.
CCUACGGGUCGCUGCAGUGGGGAAUAUUGGACAAUGGGCGAAAGCCUGAUCCAGCCAUGCCGCGUGUGUGAAGAAGGCCUUCGGGUUGUAAAGCACUUUCAGUGGGGAAGAAAGCCUUGGGGCUAAUACCCUCGAGGAAGGACAUCACCCACAGAAGAAGCACCGGCUAACUCCGUGCCAGCAGCCGCGGUAAUACGGAGGGUGCGAGCGUUAAUCGGAAUUACUGGGCGUAAAGCGCGCGUAGGCGGUCUGAUAAGCCGGUUGUGAAAGCCCCGGGCUCAACCUGGGAACGGCAUCCGGAACUGUCAGGCUAGAGUGCAGGAGAGGAAGGUAGAAUUCCCGGUGUAGCGGUGAAAUGCGUAGAGAUCGGGAGGAAUGCCAGUGGCGAAGGAGGCCUUCUGGACUGACACUGACGCUGAGGUGCGAAAGCGUGGGUAGCAAACAGGAUUAGAUACCCCGGUAGUC